Molecule: small RNA, 169 nt
Filed under: Mytilus galloprovincialis (Mediterranean mussel)
Lineage: Eukaryota; Metazoa; Mollusca; Bivalvia; Mytilida; Mytilidae
Source: RNAcentral
UAUCAAAAAGUAGUAGAAAGCCUACAAUUUGUAUGCAGUGGAUUUUCAGGGUUUUGUCUGAUAUGUAGAAUAAUCCAUAAACGAUCGGUAGGUGUUUGUAACACUCAGGAAGCAACAAAACCCUGAAAAUCCACUGCAUACAAAUUGUAGGCUUUCUGCUACUUUUUGA